This 78-nucleotide transfer RNA is filed under the name Candidatus Segetimicrobium genomatis. RNAcentral's name for it is "Terrabacteria group bacterium ANGP1 tRNA-Glu". It matches the Rfam family "tRNA". Rfam says of the family: Transfer RNA (tRNA) molecules are approximately 80 nucleotides in length. Their secondary structure includes four short double-helical elements and three loops (D, anti-codon, and T loops). Lineage: Bacteria; Bacillati; Candidatus Sysuimicrobiota; Candidatus Sysuimicrobiia; Candidatus Sysuimicrobiales; Candidatus Segetimicrobiaceae. The record is from RNAcentral.
GCCCCCAUCGUCUAGCCCGGCCUAGGACAUCGGCCCUUCAAGCCGGUAACGCGGGUUCGAAUCCCGCUGGGGGCACAA